This 1343-nucleotide ribosomal RNA is filed under the name uncultured bacterium. RNAcentral describes it as "16S ribosomal RNA". It matches the Rfam family "Bacterial small subunit ribosomal RNA", at positions 28 to 1378 of the family's 1533-position model. The record is from RNAcentral.
GACGAACGCUGGCGGCGUGCUUAACACAUGCAAGUCGAACGGAAAGGCCCUGCUUUUGUGGGGUGCUCGAGUGGCGAACGGGUGAGUAACACGUGAGUAACCUGCCCUUGACUUUGGGAUAACUUCAGGAAACUGGGGCUAAUACCGGAUAGGAGCUCCUGCUGCAUGGUGGGGGUUGGAAAGUUUCGGCGGUUGGGGAUGGACUCGCGGCUUAUCAGCUUGUUGGUGGGGUAGUGGCUUACCAAGGCUUUGACGGGUAGCCGGCCUGAGAGGGUGACCGGCCACAUUGGGACUGAGAUACGGCCCAGACUCCUACGGGAGGCAGCAGUGGGGAAUAUUGCACAAUGGGCGGAAGCCUGAUGCAGCAACGCCGCGUGCGGGAUGACGGCCUUCGGGUUGUAAACCGCUUUCGCCUGUGACGAAGCGUGAGUGACGGUAAUGGGUAAAGAAGCACCGGCUAACUACGUGCCAGCAGCCGCGGUGAUACGUAGGGUGCGAGCGUUGUCCGGAUUUAUUGGGCGUAAAGGGCUCGUAGGUGGUUGAUCGCGUCGGAAGUGUAAUCUUGGGGCUUAACCCUGAGCGUGCUUUCGAUACGGGUUGACUUGAGGAAGGUAGGGGAGAAUGGAAUUCCUGGUGGAGCGGUGGAAUGCGCAGAUAUCAGGAGGAACACCAGUGGCGAAGGCGGUUCUCUGGGCCUUUCCUGACGCUGAGGAGCGAAAGCGUGGGGAGCGAACAGGCUUAGAUACCCUGGUAGUCCACGCUGUAAACGGUGGGUACUAGGUGUGGGGUCCAUUCCACGGGUUCCGUGCCGUAGCUAACGCUUUAAGUACCCCGCCUGGGGAGUACGGCCGCAAGGCUAAAACUCAAGGGAAUUGACGGGGCCCCGCACAAGCGGCGGAGCAUGCGGAUUAAUUCGAUGCAACGCGUAGAACCUUACCUGGGUUUGACAUGGAUCGGGAGCGCUCAGAGAUGGGUGUGCCUCUUUUGGGGUCGGUUCACAGGUGGUGCAUGGCUGUCGUCAGCUCGUGUCGUGAGAUGUUGGGUUAAGUCCCGCAACGAGCGCAACCCUUGUUCACUGUUGCCAGCACGUUAUGGUGGGGACUCAGUGGAGACCGCCGGGGUCAACUCGGAGGAAGGUGGGGAUGACGUCAAGUCAUCAUGCCCCUUAUGUCCAGGGCUUCACGCAUGCUACAAUGGCUGGUACAGAGAGUGGCGAGCCUGUGAGGGUGAGCGAAUCUCGGAAAGCCGGUCUCAGUUCGGAUUGGGGUCUGCAACUCGACCUCAUGAAGUCGGAGUCGCUAGUAAUCGCAGAUCAGCAACGCUGCGGUGAAUACGUUCCCGGG